ACAAUCCCACUGAUGGCAUUUUUCCUUAUACCAUGGAGAAGUCUGUUUAAAAAUGUACAUCAGAAUCCCAAGGUGGUUUCUGUACUGUUUAAAAAUAUACUCUUAACACCCUCUGGAAAUUCUGAUAUAUUCACCAAAUUAAAACAAAAAUCAAGGUUGUGGGCAGUUAACUAUUGGACAUUUCUGAAAACCUGGAUUACAGCCUUUAUCAUCUUCCUUCUAUCAGUUUUAAGCCUCUGAGCCACAUGAGUGGCUAGGCCCUCCCCCAAAGACCUCCAACUGCCAGAUUCCACCCACAGGACAUUCUAACUGCCCUAACUGCUGGAACCAGGCCCGCACCCUACAGAGUAGGGCCCAUGGUCCUACAUCAGUCAGGGUCUGAGUUGAUGUCCACGGCUCCUGUUACCACUGAGGGCUGAUUAAGAUGCCUGGGGUCUGACCAGUCAUCCAAGUUACUGGCAUCCGAGGGCCAUGAUGCUGUCAGGGCCAAAAUGAUCUGGGUAUUGAAAUCAGGAGCUAUGCAGGGCCAGCCCCAUCCUUUGCUGGCCCUGGGAGAGCUGGCCUGCUCCCCACUGGAUACUGAAGCAGGAGAGCUGCCCCUCCCUCUCUCUGCACUCAGGAGAGAUGGCCCUACCCCUCAUCAUGGGCAUGGGAGAUCUGGCCCAUUCGGCAUGGGCCUAGAAGAGCUGGCUCCACACCUUGCCUGAGGGGAAGAGGCCCAGAGGCCGAGGCUGAUCAGCUCAGCUACCAAUCAGACCCACACCCUGGGCCUUGGGUUGGCCCACCCUAACCUCUACCCCAUCUAUGACCUGCUAGAGCACAUGAAGGGAUUGGUCCUGCAGAAUGACAGACCCAGGACUCCAUCAUGACUUGGGUCAAUAGCAGGAUAUCUGGGAGGAGUUCCGUGAGGGUCCAGAGAUGACGUGUGUGCCAGAGGCCUUGAACCAGAUCAAUGACUCUUUGCAAGGAACAUUUACGGGUGUGGCUGACUGGACAAAAGGUAUAAUGUGUGACACACUGCAGCUCCCAAUGUCACUAGGUCAAAUGAAGAGGUGUUGGAGAGAAGGGAAAAAAAUGGAAGAGCAAGUAACUCUACCAGGAAGCUUCUUACAUCAAGGAAAGGCUACAAGUUCCUCCUGCCAGAGAUAAGGAGAAUGACUGCUAUUAGCAAGCAGGAACUUGCCUCAAGGCCUAGAGGGAAUGGAGACCCUUAUCCAAAUGCCUGACCUUGGGAAAAGGACUUCCUCUGGGGACCAGACACUCCAGUACAAUUUAAGAGCAAUUCUCAUUCCUCAAGGAGAUAACCACUGAGCCUCCACCUCCGAGGUGCUGGAUUACUACUUGAACAACGUCGGUGCGGAAGAUCAGACCGAAAGCUUCCGGCAAACUAGUCAAGCACUCCAACAAGACGCUCCACAAGAUCUGUGGUUGCUAUGACAACUGCACAAAGCGCCUUCAGCGCUUAAUUGCCGGAACCGACAGAUUGUCAGCAGCAUGUAUGUAGAAGCACCCGCCCCUUCCCCACCCAGAAACCCGCCCCAAAGCCUCUCCUCACCGGCUUCACUGUAGGCCAUGCGCAGCACUCUGCCUAACGUGGAGAAGGCACAACGUGGCUGGCACAGACCUGUUCCCUGGACGGCGAAAGCCUCCACCUUGCAGCCCGAAGCCACAAACAACGCGUCCCGCCCGCCGCAGCAGAACUGCUCUGGCUCCCGCUGGCAGGGGACCACCUGCUGCGACCCGAACGGGUGCAGGUUGUACAGCUGCACCAUCCCGACAACUGGACUGUAGAGCGGCUUCCGCAAACUAGCAAGCUGCUCCGGAUCACGUGAGCGCUGUGCCCCCGCCCUGCGCUCGGCUUCUUAAAGAGGCCUUGCGGGUGGAGUGACUGGCUCUGCACUAGGUGGGUGCGGGGACCUCGGAUCUUUUCCUUGGGACUUCACUUUACUGCUUCUGGACAGAAGGGUAAUUCUCGACCCUUGAAUGUGUUUGACUCGAUCAUGUGCUGGUUUAUGCCUGGAUUGACUUCAGGGCGUCUGUCUUGUCUUCCCGUAGCCUUUGAGCUUCUGAAGGAUGGAGCUGCAAACCUGAUAUAUAUACCGCUCAACUUGGAUUAAACAUGCCAGAGUUGUUUUGAAAUAGAAAUACUGUGGAUUGUACAAUGGAUUUUUUUUUUUGAAAAGGCAUAUCCUUGAAGAUGCUUAGCAAAAAGAUAAUGUAUUGCAUGAAAGAAUCUGUGAACAUUUUGUAGGCAUUUGGCAAAGAUAAUAGAAAGAAAGGAGGGAAAUCCCCCUGAUGAUCAGUGCAGUGUUCCUAAAUAUACCCUUUAUAAGAGAAACUUGCCGUCUGAAUUCUACUUUUGGAAAUUUAAUACAACAGAUAUUAUAAUAUUUUUAACAAUUCUAGGAAAUGUGUAUGCAUGCAUGCACGUAUGUAUUGACUGAGGAAUGCUCUUUGACACCGGGACAAAACUGAAAAGAGCAAACUUCAAUUCCCAUGUCGAUCACCAUCAUAAGUCCUUUGUUCCAAGAAUUUAUAAAAUGGGAGCAGUUGGACUGAAGUUAAACCUGCUUCCAUUUCCCAUACCUUCCAAAUGAAGAUGAAUUAUGUGAUAGCCUUCCUCACCCACUGCUAGGAACACUUUGGGAGACAACAGGUUUAUCAAAUUCAAUAAGCAGAGAAAAGCAUAGAAAUCUGGCCCGCAGAAGUGGUAGAGGGAAUCAAGCAGACUGCAACGCAUGUUCUAGAUUCGACACCCAUGAAUACUUCUUUUCCCUUUCACAAGUAUCUGUCCUUUUAAUUAAUUUUCCUCUUCAAGACUGGUCUGGAUAUUAUUUUAAUGCAAUUUGACUUACAUGAGAUUCAUUCUGUCGUAGAAUUGCACCAUCUUCUCUAGAAAGCCUCUUCUCCUUGGUAUAGGCCCUGAAACUGGCUCACCCAAGGGCCUUUAGGAGGAGAUGUUUUAUCUUUAAUAACCACUUUGUUCACUGCUAUCAACAUCAGCUUAAGAGAGAAAAUAUUUGUUUUAGGUCAGUGUUUGGGAGAUAGGGUCCAACAUGGAGUAAACUGGUUCCAUCCGGGCUGAUCAGAAAGCAGAGAAAGGAGAAUGGCUUUCUCCUUAUUUUUUUUUCCCUCAGUCAAGGACCUCACAACACUGAAUGGCACUACCCACAUUCAAGUUGUGUCUUCCUUCUCCCACUAAACCCUCCUGGAAAUACUACCACAGACACAUUCAGAAGUAGGUCACCAGGUGAUUCUAAGUCCAGUAAAAUUGAUAAAAGUAAUUAUUGCAUGAAGAUAAGGUGAAGUGUGUGUGUGUCUAGAUUCCAUGUUUGUGAGGAUCUGUGAAUAGAAGCCACUCACUUGUCUCCUGUUACAAAAGCGGGGACCAGGGUGGCUUGCCAUCAUUUCCUAGUGGGAGAGGCCAUUUGUUCUUCAGUGCUACCAUGACAAAUACAGCACACUGGUUGGUUUCAGCAACAGACUUCUUAAAUUUUUUCUCAGUUCUGGAGUUUAGAAGUCUGAGAUCAAGAUGUCAGAGACCUGGUGUCUUCUGAGGCCUCUUUACUUGACUUGUAGAUGGCCAUCUUCUCACUGUCUUCACAGUCUUGCCUCUAUAAACUUCAUUCUUGGUGUCUCUUCCUCCUCUUAUAAAGAUGUCAUCUCUGCUAAGGCCUUCACGUAAGACCUCUAUUAAACUCAAUAACCCCAUAAAGUGUUGUCUGCAACAUUGAGGUACUAGGGUUUAGGACUUCAAUGGGAAUUUUCAAUAGAAUUUAGCCUAUAACAGAGAUUUCUAAGAGUGACAUUCUAGUUGAAGAAACCUCACUUUGGGACUUCUUAACACUGCAUUUGCUGGAGAAGCUUAGGUGAAUUAUACAGUUAUAAAUAGUAUCCCAGGCUGAUACUGGUGUUAGCCCUUCUGGAGAUUACUACAACGCUGGAGCUCCAAAAUCAGGGACAUAUUUCCUCAGCCACCUAUGGAGGGCAGGCUCUGUGGACAAGUUGUUCAGGGAAGGCAGGUUCUGUUGAGAGAGCAGGCUCUAUGGGGAGAGCAGGCUCUGUAGGGGAGCAGGCUUUGUAGGGCAGGCAGGCUCUGUGGGAAGAG
This is a long non-coding RNA of Peromyscus eremicus (cactus mouse), 4108 nucleotides long. RefSeq lists it as uncharacterized. Lineage: Eukaryota; Metazoa; Chordata; Mammalia; Rodentia; Cricetidae. The record is from RefSeq and is a predicted model, not a curated record. The transcript has 3 exons.